UGGGGGAUAUUGCACAAUGGGCGAAAGCCUGAUGCAGCGACGCCGCGUGGGGGAUGAAGGCUUUCGGGUUGUAAACCUCUUUCGCUAUCGAACAAGGCCCGCUUAGGGUGGGUUGAGGGUAGGUGGAGAAGAAGCGCCGGCUAACUACGUGCCAGCAGCCGCGGUAAUACGUAGGGCGCGAGCGUUGUCCGGAAUUAUUGGGCGUAAAGGGCUUGUAGGCGGCUUGUUGCGCCUGCUGUGAAAACGCGGGGCUUAACUUCGCGCGUGCAGUGGGUACGGGCAGGCUUGAGUAUGGUAGAGGUGACUGGAAUUCCAGGUGUAGCGGUGGAAUGCGAAGAUAUCUGGAGGAACACCGAUGGCGAAGGCAGGUCACUGGGCCAUUACUGACGCUGAGGAGCGAAAGCAUGGGUAGCGAACAGG
RNAcentral lists this ribosomal RNA (420 nucleotides) under bacterium. RNAcentral describes it as "partial 16S ribosomal RNA". It matches the Rfam family "Bacterial small subunit ribosomal RNA", at positions 355 to 776 of the family's 1533-position model. The record is from RNAcentral.